AGUAUUCAUCAACCAAUUUUAGCCCUCUUUCUAAAUAGGAAUCCAAUUCUCUUCGGUAAAGAGGUUUCCUAUUUGCAGUCAAUGGAUCAUAUUCUCACACUCAUACACUACCAUGAACACAGCAAGUGCACAAUCGCUACUACUGUGAUAACCUAAGGUGCUGGUGCUAUAGUUCCUGGCAAUGGUAGCCGGGGGGAAAAAAUCUAGAUACCAAAUCACAGAUCACAACCAGAUGGAGUACUCCCUUGUUUUAAUAUUACCAUACAAACAGAAAACAGGGCUUAUUCAAACAGUCAAAGAAACGUGCAUUCCUCCUUGCAGUGCUGGGGGAAGCUGUUUGUGUCUCUAUAGACGUGGAGAGAACAGGAACACAUGUUUUCUGUACUACAUGGCUAAUGCAGGAUACAGGGCUGCAGUUGUUGGGUGAAGCUUUGCCCGAAAGUUGAGAAAUGGGUGCAGCGCAAGGAUGCAGAACAGGAGUCGCAGACCAAAGCAGAGAUCCAGGAUAUGAAGCAAGAGUUAUCCGCGGUCAAUAUGAUGGACAAGUUUGCCAGAUCUGCCAGGCUGGAAAGAAAGAUCAACAAGAUGAUGAAUAAGCUCAAAACUCAUGUGAAAGUACAGACAGCUCAAUCAGGAAUGCUAAAAUGGGUUAUAAGUGUUGCUUUCUACAAAUUGCCAGGUACCGUGAUCAGGCUAUAAGGCAGUCUUGUGGGGUUAUCCAUUACUUGACAGGGUCUCGCUCUGUUGCCCAGGCUGGAGUGCAGUGGGCCAUCUAGGCUCACUGUAGCCUCUGCCACCCGGGUUCAAGUGACCUUCCCACUUCAGCCUCACAAGUAGCUGGCACUAAAAGUGCUUGCCACCAUACCCGGAUAAUUUUCAUAUUUUUUGUAAAGACAGGGUCUCACCAUGUUGCCCAGACUGGUCGCGUUUUCUUCCUCUGUUUAAAAUGGCAUUUGUUGGACAAGCAUUUGUAUAGUACUAUGUACUUACUUGAAGCUGUUAAUUUUUCAUUACAAUGUUUUGUAAAUUUCUUCAUGAGGCCAUAAUGCAUUGUUUUGUGCUCAAAUUUUGCAUUGUAUUUAAAGCAUUCAAGUGAAAUAUAUUUUAUAUAACAUUUAAUAUUUAUGCUCUGUUGAAUGGAAAGAGGUAAAAAACAAAUUUAGGAAGCCUGGUUAAAUUAAACUGAACUGAAACCUGUUUGGCCCAUAAAGCAUAACUCUGCUAAACCUAUUUUUUAUACACAUUUUUCUAAUUAAAAUUUUUGCAAGUG
This 1270-nucleotide long non-coding RNA is filed under the name Homo sapiens (human). RNAcentral describes it as "HSALNT0321470". Lineage: Eukaryota; Metazoa; Chordata; Mammalia; Primates; Hominidae. The record is from RNAcentral.